This 465-nucleotide ribosomal RNA is filed under the name Vreelandella stevensii. RNAcentral describes it as "partial 16S ribosomal RNA". It matches the Rfam family "Bacterial small subunit ribosomal RNA", at positions 338 to 795 of the family's 1533-position model. Lineage: Bacteria; Pseudomonadati; Pseudomonadota; Gammaproteobacteria; Oceanospirillales; Halomonadaceae. The record is from RNAcentral.
CCUACGGUGGGCAGCAGUGGGGAAUAUUGGACAAUGGGCGAAAGCCUGAUCCAGCCAUGCCGCGUGUGUGAAGAAGGCCUUCGGGUUGUAAAGCACUUUCAGUGGGGAAGAAAGCCUUGGGGCUAAUACCCUCGAGGAAGGACAUCACCCACAGAAGAAGCACCGGCUAACUCCGUGCCAGCAGCCGCGGUAAUACGGAGGGUGCGAGCGUUAAUCGGAAUUACUGGGCGUAAAGCGCGCGUAGGCGGUCUGAUAAGCCGGUUGUGAAAGCCCCGGGCUCAACCUGGGAACGGCAUCCGGAACUGUCAGGCUAGAGUGCAGGAGAGGAAGGUAGAAUUCCCGGUGUAGCGGUGAAAUGCGUAGAGAUCGGGAGGAAUACCAGUAGCGAAGGCGGCCUUCUGGACUGACACUGACGCUGAGGUGCGAAAGCGUGGGUAGCAAACAGGAUUAGAUACCCUAGUAGUC